UGGCACAGUCAUCGCUCUGUCACAUGUUGCUGCAUCUCCUUAAGUUUGUGUGCUCUGUUCUUUCUCUUGAUGGUGAUUUCUAGUUUCACUCCAUUGUGAUCAGAUAGUAUUUAACCAAAAAAAUUAAUUUUCUUGUAAGGACUUAUCUGAGUCCUAAAGUGUGUAUUGUGUCUUAGAGAAAGAUCCAUGAGCUGCUGAGGAAAAUGGGUAUCUUGCUGUGGAGGGUUGAAGAGGCCAUGUGAUGAUCCAUUAGACUGUAGCGGAUAGAUGAGAGGAGGGGCCGGCUGGACAAAGAUUCCUCACUCUCUGUUCUCACACCAAGUUCCCAAUAUAAAAUUCUCUCAACUCUAAGUGACCUGUUAUUCUGUGGAUAUUCCACAGUCUAUCCAUUGUCUUUAAUUGCUGAAUUUGAGUUUAAAUCUGUAUGUUUUUCAUUAAACUUCCUCCUAUUUACUCGCACCA
This is a long non-coding RNA of Mesocricetus auratus (golden hamster), 462 nucleotides long. RefSeq lists it as uncharacterized. The record is from RefSeq and is a predicted model, not a curated record. Lineage: Eukaryota; Metazoa; Chordata; Mammalia; Rodentia; Cricetidae. The transcript has 2 exons.